Molecule: ribosomal RNA, 542 nt
Filed under: uncultured bacterium
Lineage: Bacteria
Description: bacterial SSU rRNA
Rfam family: Bacterial small subunit ribosomal RNA
Source: RNAcentral
UGGCGGACGGGUGAGUAACGCGUGAGCAACCUGCCUCUGUGAGGGGAAUAACGUCUGGAAACGGACGCUAAUACCGCAUAAAGCAUCGAGACCGCAUGAUCAUGAUGUCAAAGAUUUAUCGCACAGAGAUGGGCUCGCGUCUGAUUAGAUAGUUGGUGAGGUAACGGCUCACCAAGUCAACGAUCAGUAGCCGGACUGAGAGGUUGAACGGCCACAUUGGAACUGAGAUACGGUCCAGACUCCUACGGGAGGCAGCAGUGGGGAAUAUUGGGCAAUGGACGGAAGUCUGACCCAGCGACGCCGCGUGAAGGAAGAAGGCCUUCGGGUUGUAAACUUUAGUUAUCAGGGAAGAAAGAAAUGACGGUACCUGAAGAGAAAGCCACGGCUAACUACGUGCCAGCAGCCGCGGUAAUACGUAGGUGGCGAGCGUUAUCCGGAAUUACUGGGCGUAAAGGGUGUGUAGGCGGGACUGCAAGUCAGAUGUGAAAAUUACGGGCUCAACUCGUAAAGUGCAUUUGAAACUGUAGUUCUUGAGAGCCGGA